This 2624-nucleotide long non-coding RNA is filed under the name Sus scrofa (pig). RNAcentral describes it as "lncRNA (ENSSSCG00030027487.1)". Lineage: Eukaryota; Metazoa; Chordata; Mammalia; Artiodactyla; Suidae. The record is from RNAcentral.
UAAGUUAGAACUCAAAACAAACAAACAAAAAAAGGAACUUUCAAUGGACUUUCAGUGGACUGCCUGGAUGAAAUCUAUGAAAAAUAAAAAUAAUUGGGAUUUGGAGUUUCCAUUGUGGCUCAACAAGUUAAGGACUUGACAUUUUCUCUGUGAGGAUGAGUUUGGAUCCCUGGCCUCACUCAGUGGGUUAAGAAUUUGGUGUUGCUGGAGUUCCUGUCAUGGCUCAGUGGUUAACGAAUCCAACUAGGAACCAUGAGGUUGUGGGUUCGAUCUCUGGCCUUGCUCAGUGGGUUAAGGAUCAGGCGUUGCCGUGACCUGUGGUGUAGGUUGCAGACGCAGCUCGGAUCCCAAGUUGCUGUGGCUCUGGCUAGGGUUGGUGGGCACAGCUCUGAUUCGACCCCUAGCCUGGGAACCUCCAUAUGCCUCAGGCACAGCCAUAAAAAGAAAAUAAAUAAAUAGGAUCUGAUUAAAUAAAGAGGAAAAUGUUAGCCUAGUACAGUAGGAGCAGUUGGGAGAACACAACCUCAAAGGAAGAAGUGGCAUUGCUGUAGCAGCGAGGAGCAAGGGGGCAGGGGGCAGGAGAAACUGUCCAGGGCGUAAAGUUGAGACCAGGCACAAGGUCAGUGAGUUGGUUUGAACUCAUGAGACAGAAAUAUAUGUAAGGAAAAGGCAGUCCACUCAAUAAAUGCUGAGAGAAAAUUUGGAUAAAUAUUUAGGGAAAAAAUUAUCUGAUUCCAUUCUUCACAUGUUAACAACUAAAAAGUCUAGUUGUAUCAAAAUUAUAAACUUAGAAGAAGAAAUAUAAUUUGUUUAUGCCUUUAGACGAGAACCCCAUCUAUAGAAGAAGCAAUGAACAAAAAGCAAAAGAUAAACGAAUAAAGAAAAUUAAACCACAGAUUAUGCCAAAAAGGGAAAAAGAUGACAAUAGUGAAUUAAAAUAGUAAGAAAAAAAAUGUUUGCAGCAUAUAUGACUGUUAUUAUCCAAAAUACAUAAAGCAUUUCAAAUUAACAAGAAAAACAAAAUCAUGUACUAGUGAAAGCAUAUAAACAUGUGAUUUAUUAAAAGGAAAUAUGGAUCACCGAUGCAAAAAUUAGAUUGAGCAUAUUUAAUUGCAUUGGUUCAAUCUUACAAGUAAUAUAGAAGAUACUAUCUUUCACUCAUCAAAAUCACACCCACAAAUAGUUAAAUUUUAUAGGAAAUUGAAAGAAGUGUGGUAAAAUGUGCAUUUUACUUCCCCAUAUCCCUGGUAUCCCUACUUCUCCGUAUCAACAAGGAGCUCCAUAGCAUAUUAGUGACUUAAAAGAAAUAGCAUGUUGCUUUCAAACAAAUGGCCAUGUGAUAUCUUUUAUAUAAAAUAUGAAAUAAAUAUGCACAAUGAUACCUUACAUUUCCUACAGGAGGAUACAUGGAUGCAAGUGCGUGAACAAGAACUAGGAACAUGUAAACUGAAUGGUUGUAGUGGUUAUUUCUGAGGAGCAGGAAGAAUAAAACAAGCCAUGGUGGACAAACAGGACCUUAGCUUUACCUGUUAAAUGGAGUUUCCAUUUUACUAGGAGUACAUAUUCACAUAGGCAUAGAUAUAGGUCAAACAUUAAUAGAAAUUAUCUCUGGAAUGGGAUGUAUGAGUAAUUUUGAAGUCUCCUGCUUUUUGCUUAUUUAUAUAUUCUGUAUAUUUUCUAGUGUGUAUUUCUUUUGUAAAGGUAUAUCUAUUUUAAAAUUUUACAUAAGCUUUACCGCACACACAGUGUAGGCACAGUAACAGAUGAUAUCAUGUUUGUUGUCCUAUAAAAGUUACAAUCUACUGAAGACAUAUGGACUCAAAGAACUGGGCUAGUUAUGUGUGAGCAGACUGUUGUCUUUGCUGUUAUCUUUUCCUUUGGGAGAAUAGCUCUAUCCUGUACUUUUCUAAGAAAAUCUGUUGACAGGUACAUGGUCUUGCCCUAUAGGCACCUUAGUAAGCCUUAGAGAAGGAUACUUACUGCAAAAGAUCAGAAAAAAAUUCCCCGGGAGAGAGAGUUUUUGAUAAACUAUUGUUGUUAUAGCCACCACCUCCCUUCAAAAUGAUAAUGAAAAACCACUUCUCCCUGCAUAAGAUGUGCAGAUAUUUCCUAGAUUGUGUAGAUUUCUUGAUAAUAUGUAGUUCAUAUAGACUAUUCUAAGUCAUUCCAAACUCAUCUUCUAAACACAGUGAAAGAAUGUGUCUUGAGAAAAGUUUGUACCACAUUUAUAGACUCUAAAACUUUGUGAUAUACUUAUUCCUAAAAAUAAUUCUAAUUAUAGCUACCAACAUAAACAUUUACAUAUUUUUUUCUAAACCUAAUUAUACUUCCAUAGAAUUUACAGAGCAUCUUAAAUUCAUCUUGUUCAAGUUUUUCAUGGAAGGAGUUCCUGUCAUGGUUCAGCGGUUAAUGAACCCGACUAGCAUCCAUGAGGACUCAGGCUCAUUCAGAGAGUUAAGGAUGUGGCGUUGCCAUGAGCUGAGGUGUAGGUCACAGACGUGUCUCAGUUCUGGUGUUGUUGUGGCUGUGGCAUAGGCCAGAGGCUACAGCCCCAAAUCAAUUCCUAGCCUGGGAACUUCCAUAUGCCAUGGGUGCGGCACUAAAAAGAUUAAAAAAAAAAAAAA